CCGCUCCGUCCUCCAACUCCUCCCGGUUAGCAGCAGCGAAGACGCCUCCGCAAAACGCGCCUCUUCUUCUCCGAUCGUUCGUUAGGGUUUAGGAGGCCGGAUCUACGACGGAGCACCGCCGUGCGGAAUGUGCAAUUCAAUUCAAUUCAAUCAUGCGCUUUCGGAAAGUGUUAGUGCGACAUCGAAUCAGAUGUGAGAUCGCUCCCCGAAAUGGAGCUGCGGUGGCUGCUUUGCUUUGCUUCGCUUCGCUUCGUUUGGUGAAUGCCUACAAUACUAUUCCUCGGACUUCUGUCAAUGUUAGGCGGCCAUUUGCGCCCCUGGCCAUGACUCCCUCCUGACUGCGCCUCUGGCCCCAUUCUACAUAAAAAAUAAGAGCCAGAUAUAAGUGGCACGUGGACUUGUCAAGGAGGUGGUGGACCAUCUCUCAGCAGAUUGCAGACAGCAGCCAAUGGAUGGAGCUAUUGGAUGACUGAUCAAUGAUCGUGUAUGUAUAAGAGGCCACCACAUACAUGUUGGCUACACCACCACGUACAUAUUGGCUGCAAUUGGUAGGUGAUCUUUUACUGUCGCAAUAAUAAUUCCUAUAUUGUUUUCAGGUCAGAUGCUAUUUUUGCUUCUUUAUUUCAGCAAGUUAACUAUUUUACACAAACAUUUGUAUAUUAUGUUUUGGUCUGAAC
Diospyros lotus (date-plum) is the source of this 677-nucleotide long non-coding RNA. RefSeq lists it as uncharacterized. The record is from RefSeq and is a predicted model, not a curated record. Lineage: Eukaryota; Viridiplantae; Streptophyta; Magnoliopsida; Ericales; Ebenaceae. The transcript has 3 exons.